This 481-nucleotide ribosomal RNA is filed under the name uncultured bacterium. RNAcentral's name for it is "partial 16S ribosomal RNA". It matches the Rfam family "Bacterial small subunit ribosomal RNA", at positions 28 to 507 of the family's 1533-position model. The record is from RNAcentral.
GAUGAACGCUGGCGGCGUGCCUAACACAUGCAAGUCGAACGGAGAUUCCGGACGGAAGUUUUCGGAUGGAAGACUGUAAUUCUUAGUGGCGGACGGGUGAGUAACGCGUGGGCAACCUGCCCUAUACAGGGGGAUAGCAGCUGGAAACGGCUGGUAAGACCGCAUAAGUCGGUUAAAUCGCAUGAUUUGAUCGGGAAAUGAGCAAUCAGGUAUAGGAUGGGCCCGCGUCCGAUUAGCCAGUUGGCAGGGUAAAAGCCUACCAAAGCGACGAUCGGUAGCCGGACUGAGAGGUCGGACGGCCACAUUGGGACUGAGACACGGCCCAAACUCCUACGGGAGGCAGCAGUGGGGGAUAGUGCACAAUGGAGGAAACUCUGAUGCAGCGACGCCGCGUGAGUGAAGAAGUAUUUCGGUAUGUAAAGCGCUAUCAGCAGGGAAGAUGAUGACGGUACCUGACUAAGAAGCCCCGGCUAACUACGUG